UGGGACUGAGACACGGCCCAGAUUCCUACGGGAGGCAGCAGUGGGAAUAUUGGACAAUGGGCGCAAGCCUGAUCCAGCCAUGCCGCGUGUGUGAAGAAGGCCUUUUGGUUGUAAAGCACUUUAAGCGAGGAGGAGGCUACUUGGAUUAAUACUCUAGGAUAGUGGACGUUACUCGCAGAAUAAGCACCGGCUAACUCUGUGCCAGCAGCCGCGGUAAUACAGAGGGUGCGAGCGUUAAUCGGAUUUACUGGGCGUAAAGCGUGCGUAGGCGGCUUUUUAAGUCGGAUGUGAAAUCCCUGAGCUUAACUUAGGAAUUGCAUUCGAUACUGGGAAGCUAGAGUAUGGGAGAGGAUGGUAGAAUUCCAGGUGUAGCGGUGAAAUGCGUAGAGAUCUGGAGGAAUACCGAUGGCGAAGGCAGCCAUCUGGCCUAAUACUGACGCUGAGGUACGAAAGCAUGGGGAGCAAACAGGAUUAGAUACCCUGGUAGUCCAUGCCGUAAACGAUGUCUACUAGCCGUUGGGGCCUUUGAGGCUUUAGUGGCGCAGCUAACGCGAUAAGUAGACCGCCUGGGGAGUACGGUCGCAAGACUAAAACUCAAAUGAAUUGACGGGGGCCCGCACAAGCGGUGGAGCAUGUGGUUUAAUUCGAUGCAACGCGAAGAACCUUACCUGGUCUUGACAUAGUAAGAACUUUCCAGAGAUGGAUUGGUGCCUUCGGGAACUUACAUACAGGUGCUGCAUGGCUGUCGUCAGCUCGUGUCGUGAGAUGUUGGGUUAAGUCCCGCAACGAGCGCAACCCUUUUCCUUAUUUGCCAGCGGGUUAAGCCGGGAACUUUAAGGAUACUGCCAGUGACAAACUGGAGGAAGGCGGGGACGACGUCAAGUCAUCAUGGCCCUUACGACCAGGGCUACACACGUGCUACAAUGGUCGGUACAAAGGGUUGCUACCUAGCGAUAGGAUGCUAAUCUCAAAAAGCCGAUCGUAGUCCGGAUUGGAGUCUGCAACUCGACUCCAUGAAGUCGGAAUCGCUAGUAAUCGCGGAUCAGAAUGCCGCGGUGAAUACGUUCCCGGGCCUUGUACACACCGCCCGUCACACCAUGGGAAUUUGUUGCACCAGAAGUAGGUAGUCUAACCGCAAGGAGGACGCUU
This 1149-nucleotide ribosomal RNA is filed under the name Acinetobacter johnsonii. Its description in RNAcentral is "bacterial SSU rRNA". It matches the Rfam family "Bacterial small subunit ribosomal RNA", at positions 314 to 1455 of the family's 1533-position model. The record is from RNAcentral. Lineage: Bacteria; Pseudomonadati; Pseudomonadota; Gammaproteobacteria; Moraxellales; Moraxellaceae.